This is a long non-coding RNA of Maniola jurtina (meadow brown), 206 nucleotides long. RefSeq lists it as uncharacterized. NCBI's taxonomy places the organism in Eukaryota, Metazoa, Arthropoda, Insecta, Lepidoptera, Nymphalidae. The record is from RefSeq and is a predicted model, not a curated record. The transcript is spliced from 3 exons.
AUAUUAUCUAUCUCCAUUCCAAAUUUCAGCCAAAUCCGUCAACGCGCUCGAUUGCGGGAAAACUGCAUCAAUUAUUAUUACAAUCGCAAUCGUUGUGAUUGGCUGAAUUUAUGGUAUUCUUGUUGCAACAAUGCAUUGUAGCCAAUAGUGAGCGAGCGUCAACCAAUCAGAGGUGAUUGCGAUCGUGAUAAUGUAGCUGUCAUUCU